UUGACCUCGGAUCAGGUAGGGAUACCCGCUGAACUUAAGCAUAUCAAUAAGCGGAGGAAAAGAAACCAACAGGGAUUACCUCAGUAACGGCGAGUGAAGCGGUAAGAGCUCAAAUUUGAAAGCUGGCUCCUUCGGGGUCCGCAUUGUAAUUUGCAGAGGAUGUUUCGGGAGCAGCCCCCAUCUAAGUGUCCUGGAACGGACCGUCAUAGAGGGUGAGAAUCCCGUAUGGGAUGGGGUGUCUGCGCCCAUGUGAAACUCCUUCGACGAGUCGAGUUGUUUGGGAAUGCAGCUCUAAAUGGGUGGUAAAUUUCAUCUAAAGCUAAAUAUUGGCCGGAGACCGAUAGCGCACAAGUAGAGUGAUCGAAAGAUGAAAAGCACUUUGAAAAGAGAGUUAAAAAGCACGUGAAAUUGUUGAAAGGGAAGCGCUUGCGAUCAGACUCGCCUUGGGGGUUCAGCCGGCAUUCGUGCCGGUGUACUUCCCCCAGGGCGGGCCAGCGUCGGUUUGGGUGGCCGGUCAAAGGCCCUUGGAAUGUAACGCCUCUCGGGGCGUCUUAUAGCCAAGGGUGCCAUGCGGCCUACCUGGACCGAGGAACGCGCUUCGGCUCGGACGC
This 611-nucleotide ribosomal RNA is filed under the name Penicillium glabrum. Its description in RNAcentral is "eukaryotic LSU rRNA". It matches the Rfam family "Eukaryotic large subunit ribosomal RNA", at positions 1 to 626 of the family's 3401-position model. Lineage: Eukaryota; Fungi; Ascomycota; Eurotiomycetes; Eurotiales; Aspergillaceae. The record is from RNAcentral.